Molecule: ribosomal RNA, 609 nt
Filed under: uncultured bacterium
Lineage: Bacteria
Description: bacterial SSU rRNA
Rfam family: Bacterial small subunit ribosomal RNA (bases 1-517)
Source: RNAcentral
CCUACGGGAGGCAGCAGUGGGGAAUAUUGGACAAUGGGCGAAAGCCUGAUCCAGCAAUGCCGCGUGAGUGAUGAAGGCCUUCGGGUCGUAAAGCUCUUUUACCAGGGAUGAUAAUGACAGUACCUGGAGAAUAAGCUCCGGCUAACUCCGUGCCAGCAGCCGCGGUAAUACGGAGGGAGCUAGCGUUGUUCGGAAUUACUGGGCGUAAAGAGUACGUAGGCGGUUAUUCAAGUCAGAGGUGAAAGCCCGGGGCUCAGCCCCGGAACUGCCUUUGAAACUAGAUAACUAGAGUCUUGGAGAGGUUAGUGGAAUUCCGAGUGUAGAGGUGAAAUUCGUAGAUAUUCGGAAGAACACCAGUGGCGAAGGCGACUAACUGGACAAGUACUGACGCUGAGGUACGAAAGCGUGGGGAGCAAACAGGAUUAGAUACCCUGGUAGUCCACGCCGUAAACGAUGAUAACUAGUUGUUCGGUCACUUGGUGACUGAGUGACGCAGCUACGCAUUAAGUUAUCCGUCCGUCGGGUAGGUACGGUCGCGAGAGUUAAACGUAACAAAUAGAAGUUAGACGGUCGUGAGAGUUGUCCGACGGACGACGACGAGGGAGGAGG